Frankliniella occidentalis (western flower thrips) is the source of this 904-nucleotide long non-coding RNA. RefSeq lists it as uncharacterized. NCBI's taxonomy places the organism in Eukaryota, Metazoa, Arthropoda, Insecta, Thysanoptera, Thripidae. The transcript is spliced from 3 exons. The record is from RefSeq and is a predicted model, not a curated record.
GCGGUGCGUCGUACAAUGCCGAUACCGAAACGUAAACAAACACAAUCUAAUCUGAGAAUCAAUCGAUUUCCAAUACUUUGAGAAUCUGUUAGCGGUAUGUGUCAGCGGUCUCAACGCGGCGUGGGUGCUAGGGGAGCGAGAGGGAUGCGCAGUCUGUUAUGUCAUUGACGAAGGAAAUCUGUUGAUGGAUCGAGCAAAGGCCCAGUCGAGUUGCCUGCACUGUUGUCUUGCAAUGCAUGGAAAGGGAAAGCGCUCCCUUACCGUGGGAUCUGCAGAGCACCUUAUUUUCAAGUACGCAAGAUGGAUGAGCCACAGAAAAUUUUCAGUGUAGUGUUUCGCCAUCUAUUUGGAAGUGUCUGUAAGCAUUAGUAGUAUUUUCAAAGUUUUGUCUGAUGUAGACUCUUUUUUGAAAUCAAGUGAAACGCCGCAUACUUGGUGCCAGGCUCUUAAAACAUCCUAUUGUAGUAAGGGCAUCAACUGGUGAAGAACUGAGAGUCGCCUCUUUUGUUAUAAGAAUUAUAAGGGUGUUAUUUAUGGUACGUCUGUUUUAUGUAAAUUCAAGCAACUGUAAUCUGUCUAAAACUGGUAAGUGAUGGGUAGUAAUGCCAAGGGAAAUCUCUUUUCAGACUCAUCUCGCUUUGAGCUACAAUAUUCUUUUGCUUUGAUAUCCUUUCAGUUUGGCACCAAUUGCCUAGUGAGCCAUGCUGUAUUAGAUCACAAUUUCAGUGCAAAGGUUCUCUCUUGUUGCACAUAGUCAAAACUGUUAUCCCUCUGUGAUUCAUAGGGAAGAGUACGAGUAAUAAUAAAUGUAUUUUGUGAAUGAAUGUUGUACUAUAUAAACAAAAAAUAUUAAUGUGAAUGUUAUAUGCAAAUGUUGUAACAAAGUAUAAUCUAUGCAAUGUAA